RNAcentral lists this ribosomal RNA (435 nucleotides) under uncultured bacterium. RNAcentral describes it as "partial 16S ribosomal RNA". It matches the Rfam family "Bacterial small subunit ribosomal RNA", at positions 28 to 507 of the family's 1533-position model. The record is from RNAcentral.
GAUGAACGCUGGCGGUAUGCUUAACACAUGCAAGUCGAACGGACUCUUCGGAGUUAGUGGCGGACGGGUGAGUAACGCGUGAGAAUCUGGCUUUGGGUUCGGGACAACCACUGGAAACGGUGGCUAAUACCGGAUGUGCCGAGAGGUAAAAGAGAAAUUGCCUGAAGAUGAGCUCGCGUCUGAUUAGCUAGUUGGUGAGGUAAAGGCUCACCAAGGCAGCGAUCAGUAGCUGGUCUGAGAGGAUGACCAGCCACACUGGGACUGAGACACGGCCCAGACUCCUACGGGAGGCAGCAGUGGGGAAUUUUCCGCAAUGGGCGAAAGCCUGACGGAGCAAUACCGCGUGAGGGAAGAAGGCUCUUGGGUUGUAAACCUCUUUCCUUAGGGAAGAACAAAAUGACGGUACCUAAGGAAUCAGCAUCGGCUAACUACGUG